Molecule: ribosomal RNA, 406 nt
Filed under: uncultured bacterium
Lineage: Bacteria
Description: partial 16S ribosomal RNA
Rfam family: Bacterial small subunit ribosomal RNA
Source: RNAcentral
GACGAACGCUGGCGGCAGGCCUAACACAUGCAAGUCGAACGAGUGGCGGACGGGUGAGUAAUGUCUGUGACACUGCCUGAUGGAGGGGGUUAACUACUGGAAACGGUAGCUAAUACCGCAUACCAUCAGAUGGGCCCAGAUGGGAUUAGCUGGUUGGUGGGGUAACGGCUCACCAAGACGACGAUCCCUAGCUGGGGUGAGAGGAUGACCGGCCACACUGGAACGUAGACACGGUCCAGACUCCUAUGGUAGGCAGCAGUGGGGAAUAUGGGACAAUGGGCGCAAGCCUGAUGCAGCCAUGCCGCGUGUAUGAAGAGGGCCUUCGGGUUGUAAAGUACUUUAAGCGGGGAGGCGUUACCCGCAGAAGAAGCACCGGCUAACUCCGUGCCAGCAGCCGCGGUAAUAC